This 153-nucleotide ribosomal RNA is filed under the name Bacteroidales bacterium. RNAcentral's name for it is "partial 16S ribosomal RNA". It matches the Rfam family "Bacterial small subunit ribosomal RNA", at positions 1378 to 1533 of the family's 1533-position model. The record is from RNAcentral. Lineage: Bacteria; Pseudomonadati; Bacteroidota; Bacteroidia; Bacteroidales.
GCCUUGUACACACCGCCCGUCAAGCCAUGGAAGCUGGGGGUACCUGAAGUCGGUAACCGCAAGGAGCUGCCUAGGGUAAAACCGGUAACUGGGGCUAAGUCGUAACAAGGUAGCCGUACCGGAAGGUGCGGCUGGAAUAUCUCUUUUCUAGAG